RNAcentral lists this transfer RNA (67 nucleotides) under Ovalipes punctatus. RNAcentral's name for it is "tRNA-Ala". The record is from RNAcentral. Lineage: Eukaryota; Metazoa; Arthropoda; Malacostraca; Decapoda; Ovalipidae.
UAAGACCAUAGUCAAAUAUAUGACGUAUGAGUUGCAUUCAUAAAGAGUUUCAAAAACUGGUUUUAAC